RNAcentral lists this ribosomal RNA (484 nucleotides) under uncultured bacterium. RNAcentral describes it as "partial 16S ribosomal RNA". It matches the Rfam family "Bacterial small subunit ribosomal RNA", at positions 30 to 507 of the family's 1533-position model. The record is from RNAcentral.
AUUGAACGCUGGCGGCAGGCCUAACACAUGCAAGUCGAGCGGAUGAAGGGAGCUUGCUCCUGGAUUCAGCGGCGGACGGGUGAGUAAUGCCUAGGAAUCUGCCUGGUAGUGGGGGAUAACGUCCGGAAACGGGCGCUAAUACCGCAUACGUCCUGAGUGAGAAAGUGGGGGAUCUUCGGACCUCUCGCUAUCAGAUGAGCCUAGGUCGGAUUAGCUAGUUGGUGGGGUAAAGGCCUACCAAGGCGACGAUCCGUAACUGGUCUGAGAGGAUGAUCAGUCACACUGGAACUGAGACACGGUCCAGACUCCUACGGGAGGAAGCAGUGGGGAAUAUUGGACAAUGGGCGAAAGCCUGAUCCAGCCAUGCCGCGUGUGUGAAGAAGGUCUUCGGAUUGUAAAGCACUUUAAGUUGGGAGGAAGGGCAGUAAGUUAAUACCUUGCUGUUUUGACGUUACCAACAGAAUAAGCACCGGCUAACUUCGUG